AUGAACGCUGGCGGCGUGCCUAAUACAUGCAAGUCGAGCGAACAGACGAGGAGCUUGCUCCUCUGACGUUAGCGGCGGACGGGUGAGUAACACGUGGAUAACCUACCUAUAAGACUGGGAUAACUUCGGGAAACCGGAGCUAAUACCGGAUAAUAUAUUGAACCGCAUGGUUCAAUAGUGAAAGACGGUUUUGCUGUCACUUAUAGAUGGAUCCGCGCCGCAUUAGCUAGUUGGUAAGGUAACGGCUUACCAAGGCAACGAUGCGUAGCCGACCUGAGAGGGUGAUCGGCCACACUGGAACUGAGACACGGUCCAGACUCCUACGGGAGGCAGCAGUAGGGAAUCUUCCGCAAUGGGCGAAAGCUUGACGGAGCAACGCCGCGUGAGUGAUGAAGGUCUUCGGAUCGUAAAACUCUGUUAUUAGGGAAGAACAGAUGUGUAAGUAACUAUGCACGUCUUGACGGUACCUAAUCAGAAAGCCACGGCUAACUACGUG
RNAcentral lists this ribosomal RNA (496 nucleotides) under uncultured bacterium. RNAcentral's name for it is "partial 16S ribosomal RNA". It matches the Rfam family "Bacterial small subunit ribosomal RNA", at positions 29 to 507 of the family's 1533-position model. The record is from RNAcentral.